Molecule: non-coding RNA, 1224 nt
Organism: Varroa destructor (honeybee mite)
Lineage: Eukaryota; Metazoa; Arthropoda; Arachnida; Mesostigmata; Varroidae
Source: RefSeq, a predicted model, not a curated record
UCAAGCUCGACAAGAUUCGCAAUCGAAAUAAUGAAGUUACCGUUGCUUUUCUUCAUUUUGACGCAACUGGUCAUUGCCAUGUUGAGUGCUCACUUAGAAAAACGACGUGCACGUAAACCAACGGCUAUCGAUCUUAAUUCGAAAUACUACCAGGGUAAAUUUUCCGUAUGUAAACCUUUCCGCCCAUUUAAUCCAGUCGAAGCUGUCCGAGCACAGGCCUUUGCCACGAGCAUAUUUAACCGCUGUGGGCCACGAAAUAUCAUCGAAUUCGCCACCAGAUACGGUGUGCCCGCUUAUGCAAUAGAGAAACUGGCAAAACUUCUCUGCUUUGAUGCAACUAUAGUUUACGCCAUAAUUGCUGAUGAUGGUGGACUAAGGAUACCUGCGAAUACACCUUACGAUAGGAUUCAAAACUAUUCGAGAAUUAUGAAGUCCUAUCUGUUGGCCCCUGGCAUUCAAUAUCAACAUAAAUUUCGCGGCGAUACGUAUGUCUUUUCUCAGGGAGGGCUAUACGACUUCAUAAGCAAUAUAACCGAUUGUGCUAUUAAUCCCAAAUUUCCGCCACACCCUGAAGUUGACUUCUACAAAUACGUUAUCCACUAUUUUCUGGUAAUGGUACUGUAACGGGUUCACAAACAGCGACGAAAGGAAAACAUUUUCCGUCAACAUCUUACCAACAUGUGAAAUUUAUUAGAGGCCUCUAUUCAGGCAACAACUUCGUGACGGUACGUUCCGAUGUGUCCUUUUGCGGAGCAGCACUCAUCCCUAAUCAAACGAAAAGGGCUGGGCUUAAGAGCUUUGAUGCCAAAGUCGAACAACAUGGGCCAUAAUUAUGUUAUGCCGCAUACGAACAAUCUCACGAUAAAACCAUGUCUACCAGUAGGACCAGACCUAAAUUAUAAUGCGACGUCGAAGGUGAAUGUAAAACCAGAUUUGGACCAUUUGAAAACAUCUUAGCCUUUUAAAUCUAGUCUCAGGUAUGAAUGCAAUUGGCAUUCUUUUUUCGCCUUUAUAACCUACGAUUAUUUCCACACACUGACGAAUUAAUAAAUAUAUCUAACCAUGAAAUGUUACGGUUAAAUUCACAUGAAAAUAAUUAAAUUUUUCAUUAAAAGUGUAUGCUUACCAUCGAGAAGCAAAAUUCCGGCUCCUAUAAGACUAAAAUCAGUUUGACUUUUCUUAGUUUUUACCUUAUUCAGUUGUAACGAAGUGUGAAAUACGCCA